UACGUAGGGGGGCAAGCGUUGUCCGGAUUUAUUGGGCGUAAAGAGCGUGUAGGCGGCCAGACAGGUCCGUUGUGAAAACUCGAGGCUCAACCUCGAGACGCCGAUGGAAACCGUCUGGCUAGAGUCCGGAAGAGGAGAGUGGAAUUCCCGGUGUAGCGGUGAAAUGCGCAGAUAUCAGGAGGAACACCCAUAGCGAAGGCAGCUUGCUGGGACGUUACUGACGCUAAGGCGCGAAAGCGUGGGGAGCGAACAGG
RNAcentral lists this ribosomal RNA (254 nucleotides) under uncultured bacterium. Its description in RNAcentral is "partial 16S ribosomal RNA". It matches the Rfam family "Bacterial small subunit ribosomal RNA", at positions 524 to 776 of the family's 1533-position model. The record is from RNAcentral.